CUUUACAAAGUAUCUGAGACAAACGAAAAAGGAAAACAAUUUUGUGCCUCACCCUACCACCAACCCAGAAGAAAAGGGGACUAGAGGGGAACAGAGCCUGGGGAGAGGAGUGACCUAAAAAGGAGGGGCCCUGGGUGAUAAGUCUGCAGGAA
Long non-coding RNA from Camelus ferus (Wild Bactrian camel), 152 nucleotides. It matches the Rfam family "Prostate androgen-regulated transcript 1 conserved region 3". Lineage: Eukaryota; Metazoa; Chordata; Mammalia; Artiodactyla; Camelidae. The record is from Rfam.